This 269-nucleotide ribosomal RNA is filed under the name uncultured bacterium. Its description in RNAcentral is "partial 16S ribosomal RNA". It matches the Rfam family "Bacterial small subunit ribosomal RNA", at positions 793 to 1055 of the family's 1533-position model. The record is from RNAcentral.
GUCCACGCCGUAAACGAUGAUCACUAGACGUGGGUCUUCUUAGGAGGAUCUGUGUCGAAGCUAACGCGUUAAGUGAUCCGCCUGAGUAGUACGGUCGCAAGAUUAAAACUCAAAGAAAUUGACGGGGGUCCGCACAAGCGGUGGAACAUGUGGUUUAAUUCGACACUACGCGAGAAACCUUACCCAGGCUUGACAUGUUGGUGAAAACUGCAGAGAUGUAGUCCUCUUGGGAAACCAAGACACUUUCACAGGUGCUGCAUGGCUGUCGU